UACGUAGGGUGCGAGUGUUAAUCGGAAUUACUGGGCGUAAAGUGUGCGCAGGCGGCCGAGCAAGUCGAGUGUGAAAGCCCCGGGCUUAACUUGGGAAUUGCGCUCGAAACUACUUGGCUGGAGUGUGGCAGAGGAAGGUGGAAUUCCAGGUGUAGCGGUGAAAUGCGUAGAGAUCUGGAGGAACACCGAUGGCGAAGGCAGCCUUCUGGGCCAACACUGACGCUCAUGCACGAAAGCGUGGGGAGCAAACAGG
RNAcentral lists this ribosomal RNA (253 nucleotides) under uncultured bacterium. RNAcentral's name for it is "partial 16S ribosomal RNA". It matches the Rfam family "Bacterial small subunit ribosomal RNA", at positions 524 to 776 of the family's 1533-position model. The record is from RNAcentral.